This is a non-coding RNA of Phascolarctos cinereus (koala), 701 nucleotides long. Lineage: Eukaryota; Metazoa; Chordata; Mammalia; Diprotodontia; Phascolarctidae. The record is from RefSeq and is a predicted model, not a curated record.
CAGAAGGAAAAAGAAAAUCACAGAAUUUGAAAGUUGGAAGAGAUAUCUACAGCCAUCUAGUCCAGCCUUUACUUGAAGUAAUCCCCACUAUAACAAACCCAACAAUUGACUGUCCAGCCUCUGCCUGAAGACCUCCAAAAAGGGAGAACUCACCACCUCUUGAGGCAAGCCAUUCAUUCUAUUUUUAAAUAUUUCUAUUGUUGGGCAGUUUUUCCUGAUAUCAAGCCUAAACUGGCCUCCUUUCAAUUUCUACCCAUUUCUCUGAAUUCACCCAUCAGGGACUGAACAGAACAAGUAUAAUCCCUCCUCCACAUCGGCUCUUCAAACACUUGAAGACGACUGCCAUGUUCUCCCUGAAUCUUCUUCAGGUUAAAUGUGCCCUCUUCCUUCAUAUGGUGCUCCUAUGAAAUAGACUCAAAUCUCUUCACCGUCCUGGUUGCCUACCACUGGACACUCUUCAGCUUCUCAAUGUCCUGAAAUGUUGGUUCCCUGAACUAAAGAUAAUACUCCAGAUGAGGUCUGACAAGGGCAGAAGGUCUUGAAACUCCAAACCUUCUUCUCACCCAAUCCGCCCAAGUCCUAGGUUUUGCAAGAUUGAGCAGCUUGCAGACAGCUGCUGACUGUCUUCAAUGCCUGCAACGUAUUCCGUCUUCACCUCCACAUCUAAGAGGCUCUGGUGUCCCUCCAGACUCAACUCAAGC